This 379-nucleotide ribosomal RNA is filed under the name uncultured eukaryote. RNAcentral's name for it is "partial 18S ribosomal RNA". It matches the Rfam family "Eukaryotic small subunit ribosomal RNA", at positions 592 to 976 of the family's 1831-position model. The record is from RNAcentral.
CAAUAGCGUAUAUUUAAGUUGUUGCAGUUAAAAAGCUCGUAGCCGACUCUCGGGGCUGUCGCAACGGUCCGCAGAAAUGUGAGCACUGUUGCGGCCGCCUCUUCCUUCUGGACACCAUGUCUUCUCUUGACUGAGCGGAUGUGGGGGCCAGAUCGUUCACUUUGAACAAAUUAGAGUGUUCAAAGCAGGCCUCCGCCUGAAUACUUGAGCAUGGAAUGAUAUCAAUAGGUUCUCCCUUCUCGUUUAUUGGUGAUGAGAAGGAAGAAAAUGAGAAAGGGGAAUGGUUGGGGCCAUUCGUACUGCAGCGUUAGAGGUGAAAUUCUUGGAUCGCUGCAAGACGAACAACAGCGAAAGCAUUUGGCAAGAACGUUUCCACCGG